CUUCAAAGCAUAUUAUGACCUCUAAUCAAGCGUUAGCAGGGCAGGGAAGGAGGGGAUAGGAACAUAAAUCCAUAUUAGGACAGCUAAGUAUGAGAAAUUGAUGCCUCCUGAGGUACUUGGCUCUAUGAGUGUAGAACCAAAAUCUAUGUACUGUUACUAUACUGACUCCUGAGUCCUGUCCCUUCUGGGGGUAAAAGGAAUCAAGUUGGCCAUAUUCCAGGUGUGACUUGGAAUGAGUCCCAAG
Molecule: non-coding RNA, 244 nt
Organism: Pelobates cultripes (western spadefoot toad)
Lineage: Eukaryota; Metazoa; Chordata; Amphibia; Anura; Pelobatidae
Source: the annotation of a GenBank genome assembly